ACAGCCUCUAUAUGAGAUUCCAGGAUAUUUUAAGGGAAGAGAAAGACUUGAGGGCCCUGAAGUUUUUCCUAGGCCCUCCCUCUGUCAGUGUGGUCCAGAAGUCAGGCCGAGGGUCAACUGUCAGGUGUGGAACCCACAGAAAGGGGACAGUGAUCUGUCACCUGGAUUCUACUUUGAGACAAGAUUCAGCAGGCUCUUGCCUCCACCUUGUGAGCUGUAGUUUCCAUGAAAAAGAAAGAGAGAGAGAAAGAAGGAAAGAAAAGAGGAGAAAAGAAAAGAAAGGAAAAGAACAGAGAAGGCCAUGCUCAUGUUAAGCAUUCUACAAGGCUGACUGGCUGAUUAUUGGAAGCCAGAAUUAUCUCAGGCUACCUUAGCCCCUAAAUAGACAUUUACCACCCACUUCUGUGUGUACCCUGACACCUUUGUGACUAUUAGGUAAAUCCUGUGCAGACAGACUCCCUAGCUGCUGCCAACCCAAAGUCUAAGCCUGUCAUCAGACAGUCUCUAAGGCUAGAGCAGGUUUCCCCACUGCGCUGCUGCCUGAGGCCUCCAACCAAUGUUUUUGCAAA
Molecule: long non-coding RNA, 569 nt
Organism: Mastomys coucha (southern multimammate mouse)
Lineage: Eukaryota; Metazoa; Chordata; Mammalia; Rodentia; Muridae
Exons: 2
Source: RefSeq, a predicted model, not a curated record